RNAcentral lists this ribosomal RNA (117 nucleotides) under Bacteroidales bacterium. The record is from RNAcentral. Lineage: Bacteria; Pseudomonadati; Bacteroidota; Bacteroidia; Bacteroidales.
CCUGGUGACCAUACCGAAGGGGAAACACCCGUUUCCAUUCCGAAUACGGAAGUUAAGUCCUUCUGGGCCGAUGGUACUUCAUGGGAAACUGUGCGGGAGAGUAGGUCGUUGCCAGGG